CAGGCUUAACACAUGCAAGUCGAGGGGCAGCAUGGUCUUAGCUUGCUAAGGCCGAUGGCGACCGGCGCACGGGUGAGUAACGCGUAUCCAACCUGCCUUACACUCUUGGACAGCCUUCUGAAAGGGAGAUUAAUACAAGAUGUUAUCAUGAGUAAGCAUUUUCGCAUGAUUAAAGGUUUACCGGUGUAAGAUGGGGAUGCGUUCCAUUAGAUAGUAGGCGGGGUAACGGCCCACCUAGUCUUCGAUGGAUAGGGGUUCUGAGAGGAAGGUCCCCCACAUUGGAACUGAGACACGGUCCAAACUCCUACGGGAGGCAGCAGUGAGGAAUAUUGGUCAAUGGACGAGAGUCUGAACCAGCCAAGUAGCGUGAAGGAUGAAGGUUCUAUGGAUUGUAAACUUCUUUUAUACGGGAAUAAACGAAUCCACGUGUGGAUUUUUGCAUGUACCGUAUGAAUAAGGAUCGGCUAACUCCGUGCCAGCAGCCGCGGUAAUACGGAGGAUCCGAGCGUUAUCCGGAUUUAUUGGGUUUAAAGGGAGCGUAGAUGGGUUGUUAAGUCAGUUGUGAAAGUUUGCGGCUCAACCGUAAAAUUGCAAUUGAUACUGGCAGUCUUGAGUACAGUUGAGGUAGGCGGAAUUCGUGGUGUAGCGGUGAAAUGCUUAGAUAUCACGAAGAACUCCGAUUGCGAAGGCAGCUUACUAACCUGUAACUGACAUUGAUGCUCGAAAGUGUGGGUAUCAAACGGGAUUAGAUACCCUGGUAGUCCACACGGUAAACGAUGAAUACUCGCUGUAGGCGAUAUACAGUCUGCGGCCAAGCGAAAGCAUUAAGUAUUCCACCUGGGGAGUACGCCGGCAACGGUGAAACUCAAAGGAAUUGACGGGGGCCCGCACAAGCGGAGGAACAUGUGGUUUAAUUCGAUGAUACGCGAGGAACCUUACCCGGGCUUAAAUUGCAACCGAAUAUGGCGGAAACGCUAUAGCUAGCAAUAGCGGUUGUGAAGGUGCUGCAUGGUUGUCGUCAGCUCGUGCCGUGAGGUGUCGGCUUAAGUGCCAUAACGAGCGCAACCCUUGCCGAUAGUUACUAACAGGUCAUGCUGAGGACUCUGUCGGGACUGCCAUCGUAAGAUGUGAGGAAGGUGGGGAUGACGUCAAAUCAGCACGGCCCUUACGUCCGGGGCUACACACGUGUUACAAUGGGGGGUACAGAGGGCUGCUACCACGCAAGUGGAUGCCAAUCCCAAAAACCUCUCUCAGUUCGGAUUGAAGUCUGCAACCCGACUUCAUGAAGCUGGAUUCGCUAGUAAUCGCGCAUCAGCCACGGCGCGGUGAAUACGUUCCCGGGCCUUGUACACACCGCCCGUCAAGCCAUGGGAGCCGGGGGUACCUGAAGUGCGUAACCGCAAGGAGCGCCCUAGGGUAAAACUGGUGACUGGGGCUAAGUCAUAACAA
RNAcentral lists this ribosomal RNA (1449 nucleotides) under uncultured organism. Its description in RNAcentral is "16S ribosomal RNA". It matches the Rfam family "Bacterial small subunit ribosomal RNA". The record is from RNAcentral.